This is a microRNA precursor of Gallus gallus (chicken), 139 nucleotides long. Lineage: Eukaryota; Metazoa; Chordata; Aves; Galliformes; Phasianidae. The record is from Ensembl.
UGAGCUGUUCUCCGGGGAUGGUGACACUGUGUCUGAAGCCUUGCAGCAGCUCUUGGUUUAUCACAUCAAUGCCAAGCAGGUAUGACAGGGAAAUACUUGCUGGCAGUGCUGUGGUAGUGCCAGGGGUUAGUUGUGUGGU